GACGAACGCUGGCGGCGUGCUUAACACAUGCAAGUCGAGCGGGGAGGCCCUGUCUUUGGGCGGUGCUCGAGUUGACAACGGGUGAGUAACACGUCUGUAACCUGCACUUCACUGUGAGUUAACUUCAGGCAACUGGGGCUCAUACCGGGUAGGAGCUCCUGCUGCAUGGUGAGGGCUGGUAAGAUUCGGCGGUUGGGGAUGGACUCGCGGCGUAUCAGCUCGAUGGGGGGGUAGUGGCAUACCAAGGCCUUGCAGGGUAGCAGGCCUGAGAGGGUAGCAGGACACAUUGGGACUGAGAUGCGGCCCAGACUCGUACGGGAGGGAGCAGUGCAGUAUAGAGCACAAUGGGCGGAAGCCUGAUGUAGCAACGCCGCGUGCGGGAUGACGGCCAUCGGUUUGUAAACUGCUUUCGCCUGUGAUGGAACGAGAGUGACGGUAAUGGGUGAAGAAGCACCGGCUAACUACGUG
Molecule: ribosomal RNA, 468 nt
Filed under: uncultured bacterium
Lineage: Bacteria
Description: partial 16S ribosomal RNA
Rfam family: Bacterial small subunit ribosomal RNA
Source: RNAcentral